GAUGAACGCUGGCGGCGUGCCUAAUACAUGCAAGUCGAGCGAACAGACGAGGAGCUUGCUUCUCUGACGUUAGCGGCGGACGGGUGAGUAACACGUGGAUAACCUACCUAUAAGACUGGGAUAACUUCGGGAAACCGGAGCUAAUACCGGAUAAUAUAUUGAACCGCAUGGUUCAAUAGUGAAAGACGGUUUUGCUGUCACUUAUAGAUGGAUCCGCGCCGCAUUAGCUAGUUGGUAAGGUAACGGCUUACCAAGGCAACGAUGCGUAGCCGACCUGAGAGGGUGAUCGGCCACACUGGAACUGAGACACGGUCCAAACUCCUACGGGAGGCAGCAGUAGGGAAUCUUCCGCAAUGGGCGAAAGCCUGACGGAGCAACGCCGCGUGAGUGAUGAAGGUCUUCGGAUCGUAAAACUCUGUUAUUAGGGAAGAACAAAUGUGUAAGUAACUAUGCACGUCUUGACGGUACCUAAUCAGAAAGCCACGGCUAACUACGUG
This 497-nucleotide ribosomal RNA is filed under the name uncultured bacterium. RNAcentral's name for it is "partial 16S ribosomal RNA". It matches the Rfam family "Bacterial small subunit ribosomal RNA", at positions 28 to 507 of the family's 1533-position model. The record is from RNAcentral.